GACGAACGCUGGCGGCACGCCUAACACAUGCAAGUCGAACGGAGAAAAUGAUUUCGGUUAUUUUCUUAGUGGCGGACGGGUGAGUAACACGUGAGGAACCUGCCUUUGAGAGUGGGAUAGCUUCUGGAAACGGAUGGUAAUACCGCAUAACAUAGCGAAACCGCAUGAUUUUGCUAUCAAAGUAUUUCGCUCAGAGAUGGCCUCGCGUCUGAUUAGAUAGUUGGUGAGGUAACGGCUCACCAAGUCGACGAUCAGUAGCCGGACUGAGAGGUUGAACGGCCACAUUGGGACUGAGACACGGCCCAGACUCCUACGGGAGGCAGCAGUGGGGGAUAUUGCACAAUGGGGGAAACCCUGAUGCAGCGAUGCCGCGUGGAGGAAGAAGGUUUUCGGAUUGUAAACUCCUGUCGUAAGGGAAGAGAAAGGACUGUACCUUACAAGAAAGCUCCGGCUAACUACGUGCCAGCAGCCGCGGUAAUACGUAGGGAGCGAGCGUUGUCCGGAAUGACUGGGUGUAAAGGGAGCGUAGGCGGGAUGGCAAGUCAGAAGUGAAACCUGAGGGCUCAACCUUCAGACUGCAUUUGAAACUGCUGUUCUUGAGUGAAGUAGAGGUAAGCGGAAUUCCUGGUGUAGCGGUGAAAUGCGUAGAGAUCAGGAGGAACAUCGGUGGCGAAGGCGGCUUACUGGGCUUUUACUGACGCUGAGGCUCGAAAGCGUGGGGAGCAAACAAGAUUAGAUACCCUGGUAGUCCACGCUGUAAAC
This 762-nucleotide ribosomal RNA is filed under the name uncultured bacterium. Its description in RNAcentral is "bacterial SSU rRNA". It matches the Rfam family "Bacterial small subunit ribosomal RNA", at positions 28 to 807 of the family's 1533-position model. The record is from RNAcentral.